CCAGACUCCUACGGGAGGCAGCAGUAGGGAAUCUUCGGCAAUGGACGGAAGUCUGACCGAGCAACGCCGCGUGAGUGAAGAAGGUUUUCGGAUCGUAAAGCUCUGUUGUAAGAGAAGAACGAGUGUGAGAGUGGAAAGUUCACACUGUGACGGUAUCUUACCAGAAAGGGACGGCUAACUACGUGCCAGCAGCCGCGGUAAUACGUAGGUCCCGAGCGUUGUCCGGAUUUAUUGGGCGUAAAGCGAGCGCAGGCGGUUAGAUAAGUCUGAAGUUAAAGGCUGUGGCUUAACCAUAGUACACUUUGGAAACUGUUUAACUUGAGUGCAAGAGGGGAGAGUGGAAUUCCAUGUGUAGCGGUGAAAUGCGUAGAUAUAUGGAGGAACACCGGUGGCGAAAGCGGCUCUCUGGCUUGUAACUGACGCUGAGGCUCGAAAGCGUGGGGAGCAAACAGGAUUAGAUACCCUGGUAGUCCACGCCGUAAACGAUGAGUGCUAGGUGUUAGACCCUUUCCGGGGUUUAGUGCCGCAGCUAACGCAUUAAGCACUCCGCCUGGGGAGUACGACCGCAAGGUUGAAACUCAAAGGAAUUGACGGGGGCCCCGCACAAG
Molecule: ribosomal RNA, 608 nt
Filed under: uncultured bacterium
Lineage: Bacteria
Description: bacterial SSU rRNA
Rfam family: Bacterial small subunit ribosomal RNA
Source: RNAcentral